UGUGUGUGUUUGCUUGACGAACUUUGUGUUUUGGGCGCUGUAUUUAAUUUGGUUUCGUUAUAUUUUCUCUCCUGUUUCAUAUAUAGUUUUCCAAUUUACUGCCAAUAUAAUUUUUAACAAUCUAGGGAAGUAAUCUAGGUUCACUUCGGGGUCUUUGUUGAAAUCUUGAGUAUCAUCUGUUUUUCUACCCCCAAUGAAUAUCUGUUUCGUUUAUGUUUUUGCGCAUGUUCUGUGCAUUAAGUUAUUCUUGUAAUAUGAGUUCUUACCGUAGUUUUUUUUUUAUCCAUGGUGAAACGAGUGUUGCCACAUGUUCUCAGUGUCUGUUGCAUUGAGGUGGUUGAUCCUUUUUAAUUCUAUUUCUCAGUGUUGGAGAAAUUUCACAGUAAUUUGCAGCAUGUUUAUCGAGAAAUGAUUGUAUGCGCUGCCAUAAUUGUCUAGAUCUGUUUUCGUCUUUCGAGAUAUCUCUGGUCCAUAGGACUUGCAUUUUUCAGCUUUGUUGCCAAGCGUCAGCUUUGAUAUUCCACCGACAACCUGAACAUCGCUAGCUUCGUAUUCCUUUUAGUAAUAGGAUUGUUUACAUAGAGUGAUAGAGAUGUCUGUCUUGAAUUUUGUUAUAGUGAACUCUCAUGAAAUGUACUGUUUCCUCCGCCGAUCCUCUUACAAUUUCCUUGAUUAGGUACUUAUGGUGGAGUGUGGGUUAACUUGUAAAAUCCAUUUAGAAUCAAUUUCAGUUGUCACCUUUAUAUACCUUCCAGAAAUUUUGUUUUCUUACAGUGCUAAGGCUUUUCCAUAGGACGUUGUUACUGGAUUUUAAUCCUAGGAAAACAUCUUUUCCACCUGUUAUCGACACAUGAUAUGCGCAGACAUACAAACACAUACACGCACACAUUAUUCCAUGCUUUGUGGACUGCAUUGCAAUUGCCUCCGAUUGCAUAUGGGACCAUGGAAGAACAAUGUCGGAGAAGUAAAGCUAAAGAAACGGGUGAAGUUAUGAAUUAGUUUCAUCCUACUAAUGCAGAUCAAUGUGUACUUCUUUCGAUUGCAAACCUGAAAUUUGCAAAUUGAAUACGAAAUAAAAUAUAUUCCGGUAUUGUAUCAGUCCGACUUUUCCCAAGCUGACGUGACUGCCACUCUUUAUUCAUCCGUUUAAUUAUUUAUUUAUAUAUUUAUUUAUUCAUGUAUCUAUUUAUUUCCCGUUUUACUACGUAACUGCGUAUGUUUGCAAGCAGUUUCUCAAGUUCUUUGUGAUGCACCGUAUUACCAAAUUGUAUUUCAAAUUCUAUGAACCUCCCAUGCAUAGUCCAGAGUGCAGCAAGGUUUACGUCGUCUGAUUGCGCACAUGCUGUAUCACCGCCUUUAAUCGAACAAUUCGACCUCAGGGUUUAUUCUUUGUAAGCCUGGUACUUAUUCUAUCGAGCCCUUUUGCCGAAAGGCUUUGUCAUGUUUUCAUAAACACAUCAACAUCGGUUUUCAAGCGAUGAUGAGACGACAAACACAGACACACAAAUAGAUAGAUAGAUAGAUAGAUAGAUAGAUAGAUAGAUAGAUAGAUACAUACAUACAUACAUAUAUACAUACAUACAUACAUACAUACAUACAUAUAUAUAUAUUCGACGUGCUUCUUUAAGUUUUCUGCUACCAAAUCCACUCACAACCCUUUGGUCGGCCAGAUGCUAUAGUAGAAAACAUCUUCCCAAGGUAACACGCAGUGGGACUGAACCCGGAACUAUGUGGUUUGGAAGCAAUCUUCUUACUAUACAGCCAUUCCUGUGCCUGAAUGUAUAUCGUUAGUUAUGGGUAUGCACACAAAUGCAGAGACAUUUAAAAACUGCUUGUAUCAUGUAUACCCAAAAAUUAUCAUGAAAAUGUAUUAGAAAAUUGUAUGAGAAUAUAAGAGGCUGAGCGGUCUCAUGGAACAAGAAAGUACAGAUUUCUUUUCAUAGAUAUGCCUAUAAUGUGUAAGGAAGUACCGAAUGUAGCAAUAAUAGUCAGAAGAAGCACUAAAAAAAGCGUUUAUUAUAUAUAUAUAUAUAUAUAUAUAUAUAUGUAUAUACAUACUUGCAGAAAUUCGUAUCUGGCUGCUUUAAAGGAUA
Octopus bimaculoides (California two-spot octopus) is the source of this 2093-nucleotide long non-coding RNA. The record is from RefSeq and is a predicted model, not a curated record. Lineage: Eukaryota; Metazoa; Mollusca; Cephalopoda; Octopoda; Octopodidae.